GAUGAACGCUGGCGGCGUGCCUAAUACAUGCAAGUCGAGCGAACAGACGAGGAGCUUGCUCCUCUGACGUUAGCGGCGGACGGGUGAGUAACACGUGGAUAACCUACCUAUAAGACUGGGAUAACUUCGGGAAACCGGAGCUAAUACCGGAUAAUAUAUUGAACCGCAUGGUUCAAUAGUGAAAUACGGUUUUUCUGUCACUUAUAGAUGGAUCCGCGCCGCAUUAGCUAGUUGGUAAGGUAACGGCUUACCAAGGCAACGAUGCGUAGCCGACCUGAGAGGGUGAUCGGCCACACUGGAACUGAGACACGGUACAGACACCUACGGGAGGCAGCAGUAGGGAAUCUUCCGCAAUGGGCGAAAGCAUGACGGAGCAAAGCCGCGUGAGUGAUGAAGGUAUUAGGAUCGUAAAACUAUGUUAUUAGGGAAGAACAAAUGUGUAAGUAACUAUGCACGUAUUGACGGUAACUAAACAGAAAGCAACGGCUAACUACGUG
RNAcentral lists this ribosomal RNA (497 nucleotides) under uncultured bacterium. RNAcentral describes it as "partial 16S ribosomal RNA". It matches the Rfam family "Bacterial small subunit ribosomal RNA", at positions 28 to 507 of the family's 1533-position model. The record is from RNAcentral.